Molecule: ribosomal RNA, 1057 nt
Filed under: Escherichia coli
Lineage: Bacteria; Pseudomonadati; Pseudomonadota; Gammaproteobacteria; Enterobacterales; Enterobacteriaceae
Description: partial 23S ribosomal RNA
Rfam family: Bacterial large subunit ribosomal RNA
Source: RNAcentral
UGUGUUUCGACACACUAUCAUUAACUGAAUCCAUAGGUUAAUGAGGCGAACCGGGGGAACUGAAACAUCUAAGUACCCCGAGGAAAAGAAAUCAACCGAGAUUCCCCCAGUAGCGGCGAGCGAACGGGGAGGAGCCCAGAGCCUGAAUCAGUGUGUGUGUUAGUGGAAGCGUCUGGAAAGGCGCGCGAUACAGGGUGACAGCCCCGUACACAAAAAUGCACAUACUGUGAGCUCGAUGAGUAGGGCGGGACACGUGGUAUCCUGUCUGAAUAUGGGGGGACCAUCCUCCAAGGCUAAAUACUCCUGACUGACCGAUAGUGAACCAGUACCGUGAGGGAAAGGCGAAAAGAACCCCGGCGAGGGGAGUGAAAAAGAACCUGAAACCGUGUACGUACAAGCAGUGGGAGCCUCUUUUAUGGGGUGACUGCGUACCUUUUGUAUAAUGGGUCAGCGACUUAUAUUCUGUAGCAAGGUUAACCGAAUAGGGGAGCCGAAGGGAAACCGAGUCUUAACUGGGCGUUAAGUUGCAGGGUAUAGACCCGAAACCCGGUGAUCUAGCCAUGGGCAGGUUGAAGGUUGGGUAACACUAACUGGAGGACCGAACCGACUAAUGUUGAAAAAUUAGCGGAUGACUUGUGGCUGGGGGUGAAAGGCCAAUCAAACCGGGAGAUAGCUGGUUCUCCCCGAAAGCUAUUUAGGUAGCGCCUCGUGAAUUCAUCUCCGGGGGUAGAGCACUGUUUCGGCAAGGGGGUCAUCCCGACUUACCAACCCGAUGCAAACUGCGAAUACCGGAGAAUGUUAUCACGGGAGACACACGGCGGGUGCUAACGUCCGUCGUGAAGAGGGAAACAACCCAGACCGCCAGCUAAGGUCCCAAAGUCAUGGUUAAGUGGGAAACGAUGUGGGAAGGCCCAGACAGCCAGGAUGUUGGCUUAGAAGCAGCCAUCAUUUAAAGAAAGCGUAAUAGCUCACUGGUCGAGUCGGCCUGCGCGGAAGAUGUAACGGGGCUAAACCAUGCACCGAAGCUGCGGCAGCGACGCUUAUGCGUUGUUGGGUA